Molecule: ribosomal RNA, 777 nt
Filed under: Microbacterium sp.
Lineage: Bacteria; Bacillati; Actinomycetota; Actinomycetes; Micrococcales; Microbacteriaceae
Description: bacterial SSU rRNA
Rfam family: Bacterial small subunit ribosomal RNA
Source: RNAcentral
CAGGAUGAACGCUGGCGGCGUGCUUAACACAUGCAAGUCGAACGGUGAAAGAGAGCUUGCUCUCUGGAUCAGUGGCGAACGGGUGAGUAACACGUGAGCAACCUGCCCCGGACUCUGGGAUAACAGCUGGAAACAGCUGCUAAUACCGGAUACGAGCUGCGAAGGCAUCUUCAGCAGCUGGAAAGAAUUUCGGUCCGGGAUGGGCUCGCGGCCUAUCAGCUAGUUGGUGAGGUAAUGGCUCACCAAGGCGUCGACGGGUAGCCGGCCUGAGAGGGUGACCGGCCACACUGGGACUGAGACACGGCCCAGACUCCUACGGGAGGCAGCAGUGGGGAAUAUUGCACAAUGGGCGAAAGCCUGAUGCAGCAACGCCGCGUGAGGGAUGACGGCCUUCGGGUUGUAAACCUCUUUUAGCAGGGAAGAAGCGAAAGUGACGGUACCUGCAGAAAAAGCGCCGGCUAACUACGUGCCAGCAGCCGCGGUAAUACGUAGGGCGCAAGCGUUAUCCGGAAUUAUUGGGCGUAAAGAGCUCGUAGGCGGUUUGUCGCGUCUGCUGUGAAAACCCGAGGCUCAACCUCGGGCCUGCAGUGGGUACGGGCAGACUAGAGUGCGGUAGGGGAGAUUGGAAUUCCUGGUGUAGCGGUGGAAUGCGCAGAUAUCAGGAGGAACACCGAUGGCGAAGGCAGAUCUCUGGGCCGUAACUGACGCUGAGGAGCGAAAGGGUGGGGAGCAAACAGGCUUAGAUACCCUGGUAGUCCACCCCGUAAACGUUGGGAA